AACGAACGCUGGCGGCAUGCCUAACACAUGCAAGUCGAACGAGACCUUCGGGUCUAGUGGCGCACGGGUGCGUAACGCGUGGGAAUCUGCCCUUGGGUUCGGAAUAACUCAGAGAAAUUUGAGCUAAUACCGGAUGAUGACGUAAGUCCAAAGAUUUAUCGCCCAAGGAUGAGCCCGCGUAAGAUUAGCUAGUUGGUGGGGUAAAGGCCUACCAAGGCGACGAUCUUUAGCUGGUCUGAGAGGAUGAUCAGCCACACUGGGACUGAGACACGGCCCAGACUCCUACGGGAGGCAGCAGUGGGGAAUAUUGGACAAUGGGCGAAAGCCUGAUCCAGCAAUGCCGCGUGAGUGAUGAAGGCCUUAGGGUUGUAAAGCUCUUUUACCAGGGAUGAUAAUGACAGUACCUGGAGAAUAAGCUCCGGCUAACUCCGUGCCAGCCGCCGCCGUAA
RNAcentral lists this ribosomal RNA (449 nucleotides) under uncultured bacterium. RNAcentral describes it as "partial 16S ribosomal RNA". It matches the Rfam family "Bacterial small subunit ribosomal RNA", at positions 29 to 523 of the family's 1533-position model. The record is from RNAcentral.